GACGAACGCUGGCGGCGUGCCUAAUACAUGCAAGUAGAACGCUGAAGGAGGAGCUUGCUUCUCCGGAUGAGUUGCGAACGGGUGAGUAACGCGUAGGUAACCUGCCUGGUAGCGGGGGAUAACUAUUGGAAACGAUAGCUAAUACCGCAUAACAGUAGAUGUUGCAUGACAUUUGCUUAAAAGGUGCAAUUGCAUCACUACCAGAUGGACCUGCGUUGUAUUAGCUAGUUGGUGAGGUAACGGCUCACCAAGGCGACGAUACAUAGCCGACCUGAGAGGGUGAUCGGCCACACUGGGACUGAGACACGACCCAGACUCCUACGGGAGGCAGCAGUAGGGAAUCUUCGGCAAUGGACGGAAGUCUGACCGAGCAACGCCGCGUGAGUGAAGAAGGUUUUCGGAUCGUAAAGCUCUGUUGUAAGAGAAGAACGAGUGUGAGAGUGGAAAGUUCACACUGUGACGGUAUCUUACCAGAAAGGGACGGCUAACUACGUG
RNAcentral lists this ribosomal RNA (495 nucleotides) under uncultured bacterium. RNAcentral describes it as "partial 16S ribosomal RNA". It matches the Rfam family "Bacterial small subunit ribosomal RNA", at positions 28 to 507 of the family's 1533-position model. The record is from RNAcentral.